The sequence is a ribosomal RNA, 3109 nucleotides long. It matches the Rfam family "Bacterial large subunit ribosomal RNA".
UUAAGGGCGCACGGUGGAUGCCUUGGCACCAGGAACCGAUGAAGGACGUGGGAGGCCACGAUAGGCCCCGGGGAGCUGUCAACCGAGCUUUGAUCCGGGGGUGUCCGAAUGGGGAAACCCGGCAGUCGUCAUGGGCUGUCACCCGCUGCUGAACACAUAGGCAGUGUGGAGGGAACGCGGGGAAGUGAAACAUCUCAGUACCCGCAGGAAGAGAAAACAACCGUGAUUCCGGGAGUAGUGGCGAGCGAAACUGGAUGAGGCCAAACCAGUCACGUGUGAUACCCGGCAGGGGUUGCGUGGUUGGGGUUGUGGGAUCUCUCUUUUGCAGUCUGCCGGCUGUGAGGCGAGUCAGAAACCGUUGAUGUAGGCGAAGGACAUGCGAAAGGUCCGGCGUAGAGGGUAAGACCCCGUAGCUGAAACAUUAGCGGCUCGUUUGAGAGACACCCAAGUAGCACGGGGCCCGAGAAAUCCCGUGUGAAUCUGGCGGGACCACCCGUUAAGCCUAAAUAUUCCCUGGUGACCGAUAGCGGAUAGUACCGUGAGGGAAUGGUGAAAAGUACCGCGGGAGCGGAGUGAAAUAGUACCUGAAACCGUGUGCCUACAAGCCGUGGGAGCGUCGCGCAGAGAACUUGUUCUUUGCGUCGUGACUGCGUGCCUUUUGAAGAAUGAGCCUGCGAGUUUGCGGUAUGUUGCGAGGUUAACCCGUGUGGGGAAGCCGUAGCGAAAGCGAGUCCGAAUAGGGCGUGGAGUAGCAUGCUCAAGACCCGAAGCGGAGUGAUCUAGCCAUGGGCAGGUUGAAGCGGAGGUAAGACUUCGUGGAGGACCGAACCCACCAGGGUUGAAAACCUGGGGGAUGACCUGUGGUUAGGGGUGAAAGGCCAAUCAAACUCCGUGAUAGCUGGUUCUCCCCGAAAUGCAUUUAGGUGCAGCGUCGUGUGUUUCUUGCCGGAGGUAGAGCACUGGAUAGGCGAUGGGCCCUACCGGGUUACUGACCUUAGCCAAACUCCGAAUGCCGGUAAGUGAGAGCGCGGCAGUGAGACUGUGGGGGAUAAGCUCCAUGGUCGAGAGGGAAACAGCCCAGAGCAUCGACUAAGGCCCUAAGCGUGUGCUAAGUGGGAAAGGAUGUGGAGUCGCAGAGACAACCAGGAGGUUGGCUUAGAAGCAGCCACCCUUGAAAGAGUGCGUAAUAGCUCACUGGUCAAGUGAUUCCGCGCCGACAAUGUAGCGGGGCUCAAGUACACCGCCGAAGUCGUGUCAUUGCGAUAUUACUCCUAACGGGGAUCGUGAUGGGUAGGGGAGCGUCGUGUGCCGGGUGAAGCAGCCGUGGAAACGAGUUGUGGACGGUUCACGAGUGAGAAUGCAGGCAUGAGUAGCGAUACAAGAGUGGGAAACUCUUGCGCCGAUUGACUAAGGGUUCCUGGGUCAAGCUGAUCUGCCCAGGGUAAGUCGGGACCUAAGGCGAGGCCGACAGGCGUAGUCGAUGGACAACCGGUUGAUAUUCCGGUACCCGCUUUGAAGCGCCCAAUACUGAAUCAGGCGAUGCUAAGUCCGUGAAGCCGCCCUGGAGCCUUCGGGUGAAGGGGAGUGGUGGAGCCGACGGACCAGACUUGUAGUAGGUAAGCGAUGGGGUGACGCAGGAAGGUAGUCCAGCCCGGGCGGUGGUUGUCCCGGGGUAAGGGUGUAGGCCGUGUGGUAGGUAAAUCCGUCGCACGUUAAGGCUGAGACCUGAUGCCGAGCCGAUUGUGGUGAAGUGGAUGAUCCUAUGCUGUCGAGAAAAGCCUCUAGUGAGUUUCAAGGCGGCCCGUACCCUAAACCGACUCAGGUGGUCAGGUAGAGAAUACCGAGGCGUUCGGGUGAACUAUGGUUAAGGAACUCGGCAAAAUGCCCCCGUAACUUCGGGAGAAGGGGGGCCAUUUCUGGUGAGGGAACUUGCUUCCUGAGCUGGGGGUGGCCGCAGAGACCAGCGAGAAGCGACUGUUUACUAAAAACACAGGUCCGUGCGAAGCCGUAAGGCGAUGUAUACGGACUGACGCCUGCCCGGUGCUGGAACGUUAAGGGGACCGGUUAGCUUGGAUUCGUUCAGGCGAAGCUGAGAACUUAAGCGCCAGUAAACGGCGGUGGUAACUAUAACCAUCCUAAGGUAGCGAAAUUCCUUGUCGGGUAAGUUCCGACCUGCACGAAUGGCGUAACGACUUCUCGACUGUCUCAACCAUAGGCCCGGUGAAAUUGCAUUACGAGUAAAGAUGCUCGUUUCGCGCAGCAGGACGGAAAGACCCCGGGACCUUUACUAUAGCUUGAUAUUGGUGUUCGGUUCGGCUUGUGUAGGAUAGGUGGGAGACUGUGAAGCGCCAACGCCAGUUGGUGUGGAGUCGUUGUUGAAAUACCACUCUGGUCGUGCUGGAUGUCUAACCUGGGUCCGUGAUCCGGAUCAGGGACAGUGUCUGGUGGGUAGUUUAACUGGGGCGGUUGCCUCCUAAAGAGUAACGGAGGCGCCCAAAGGUUCCCUCAGCCUGGUUGGUAAUCAGGUGUUGAGUGUAAGUGCACAAGGGAGCUUGACUGUGAGACUGACGGGUCGAGCAGGUACGAAAGUAGGGACUAGUGAUCCGGCGGUGGCUUGUGGAAGCGCCGUCGCUCAACGGAUAAAAGGUACCCCGGGGAUAACAGGCUGAUCUUCCCCAAGAGUCCAUAUCGACGGGAUGGUUUGGCACCUCGAUGUCGGCUCGUCGCAUCCUGGGGCUGGAGUCGGUCCCAAGGGUUGGGCUGUUCGCCCAUUAAAGCGGUACGCGAGCUGGGUUUAGAACGUCGUGAGACAGUUCGGUCCCUAUCCGCUGUGCGCGUAGGAGUCUUGAGAAGGGCUGUCCCUAGUACGAGAGGACCGGGACGGACGAACCUCUGGUGUGCCAGUUGUUCUGCCAAGGGCAUGGCUGGUUGGCUACGUUCGGAAAGGAUAACCGCUGAAAGCAUCUAAGCGGGAAGCCUGCUUCGAGAUGAGGGCUCCCUCCUCCUUGAGAGGGUAAGGCUCCCAGUAGACGACUGGGUUGAUAGGCCAGAUAUGGAAGCACUGUAAGGUGUGGAGUUGACUGGUACUAAUAGGCCGAGGGCUUGUCCU